UACAGAGGUGGCAAGCGUUGUUCGGAAUUACUGGGCGUAAAGCGCGUGUAGGCGGCUCUUCAAGUCAGGCGUGAAAGCCCCGGGCUCAACUCGGGAACUGCGCUUGAUACUGUCGAGCUAGAGUGUGGAAGGGGCGAUUGGAAUUCCGUGUGUAGCGGUGAAAUGCGUAGAUAUACGGAGGAACACCAGAGGCGAAGGCGGGUUGCUGGGCUGACACUGACGCUGAGGCGCGAAAGCUAGGGGAGCGAACGGG
RNAcentral lists this ribosomal RNA (253 nucleotides) under uncultured prokaryote. Its description in RNAcentral is "partial 16S ribosomal RNA". It matches the Rfam family "Bacterial small subunit ribosomal RNA", at positions 524 to 776 of the family's 1533-position model. The record is from RNAcentral.